This 497-nucleotide ribosomal RNA is filed under the name uncultured bacterium. Its description in RNAcentral is "partial 16S ribosomal RNA". It matches the Rfam family "Bacterial small subunit ribosomal RNA", at positions 28 to 507 of the family's 1533-position model. The record is from RNAcentral.
GACGAGCGCUGGCGGCGUGCCUAAUACAUGCAAGUUGAGCGCUGAAGGUUGGUACUUGUACCAACUGGAUGAGCAGCGAACGGGUGAGUAACGCGUGGGGAAUCUGCCUUUGAGCGGGGGACAACAUUUGGAAACGAAUGCUAAUACCGCAUAAAAACUUUAAACACAAGUUUUAAGUUUGAAAGAUGCAAUUGCAUCACUCAAAGAUGAUCCCGCGUUGUAUUAGCUAGUUGGUGAGGUAAAGGCUCACCAAGGCGAUGAUACAUAGCCGACCUGAGAGGGUGAUCGGCCACAUUGGGACUGAGACACGGCCCAAACUCCUACGGGAGGCAGCAGUAGGGAAUCUUCGGCAAUGGACGAAAGUCUGACCGAGCAACGCCGCGGGAGUGAAGAAGGUUUUCGGAUCGUAAAACUCUGUUGGUAGAGAAGAACGUUGGUGAGAGUGGAAAGCUCAUCAAGUGACGGUAACUACCCAGAAAGGGACGGCUAACUACGUG